CCCAGACUCCUACGGGAGGCAGCAGUGGGGAAUAUUGGGCAAUGGGCGCAAGCCUGACCCAGCAACGCCGCGUGAAGGAAGAAGGCUUUCGGGUUGUAAACUUCUUUUGUCAGGGACGAAGCAAGUGACGGUACCUGACGAAUAAGCCACGGCUAACUACGUGCCAGCAGCCGCGGUAAUACGUAGGUGGCAAGCGUUAUCCGGAUUUAUUGGGUGUAAAGGGCGUGUAGGCGGGAACGCAAGUCAGAUGUGAAAACUAUGGGCUCAACCCAUAGCCUGCAUUUGAAACUGUAUUUCUUGAGUGCUGGAGAGGCAAUCGGAAUUCCGUGUGUAGCGGUGAAAUGCGUAGAUAUACGGAGGAACACCAGUGGCGAAGGCGGCUUUCUGGACUGUAACUGACACUGAGGUACGAAAGCGUGGGGAGCAAACAGGAUUAGAUACCCUUGUAGG
This 450-nucleotide ribosomal RNA is filed under the name uncultured bacterium. RNAcentral's name for it is "bacterial SSU rRNA". It matches the Rfam family "Bacterial small subunit ribosomal RNA", at positions 330 to 794 of the family's 1533-position model. The record is from RNAcentral.